This 900-nucleotide long non-coding RNA is filed under the name Linum usitatissimum (flax). Its description in RNAcentral is "long non-coding RNA (LUSI_LNC004429)". The record is from RNAcentral. Lineage: Eukaryota; Viridiplantae; Streptophyta; Magnoliopsida; Malpighiales; Linaceae.
AAUUGAAUCAUACUGAAACGUACACAGAAGCAGAGAAAAUCGGAAACUGCAAUUUGAAUCAAAACUUACUCCAAACAGACCCCAAUCAUCAAUCAUUUGCACUUUUACUAUUGAUGACGAAAAAUCACUGCAAUCCAAUAACAACAGUUGGGCAGAGACAAUUCAGCAAAGGAAAGGUACACGGAAUCAGAGAAAAUCUGAAUAUGAAGCUUUAUACAAAACGAAGCUAUGUAGUUGAGAUCAAUUAAUCUCACAGUUUAUCAGUUACUUCUUUGCUGGGAAAGCUGUCCAAAGUCACAGAUAAAAUCAGAAAUUGGGUGUCAAUGGUACAUUGAAAAUAAGUUCCAGGUGAAAUCAAAACGCUAUACCUGAGAUCAGUCUUGAUUGUGUAUCAAUGGUCUGAUUUUCAUGAUUUUAAUUUCCAUCAGUGUUACCUUUGAAAUCAGGAAAUUCACUGCAGAAACAAUGGUUUGUAAAUCAAUGGUUUUGAUUUUCAUCACCGUACCAAUGGUCCGAUUUCCCUUGCCGAAACACUAUACCUGUCAUCAAAUACCGCCCCUGUUACUAUUGAUGAAUAAAACUCACUGCAAUCCAAUAACAACUUUCUAGACCCUCCAAACACUCUGCCGUUCAUAAUUACCAAUAAAAGACAUCGAUCAAUUUUUGUACAGAAACGGCCGGCAGCGAUGGGAGUUGCAAAGGUAAUCAAAGAACAGGGAAGGAAGCUGGAGAAGAAGAAGAAGAAGAAGAAGAAGAAGAGGUGGUUCAAAGGUAAUUAAGAUUCAGAAUUGAAAAUCAGGGAGGGAAGUUGGAGAAGAAGACGAAGAAGAAGAAGAAGAAGAAGAAGAGGCGGUUGUCAGGAAAUUAAACUCUUGCUGGAUAAGAAGAAGACGAUGAAAG